CCCGAAGUAUCCUGAAUCUUUCGCAUUGUUAAUCGUACAAGUGCAUAUAAUAAACACAAAAAUCAAUGAUAAUCAUGCCAUUAUAUAAUUCCGAAAAAUUAACGCACUGUAGUCAUAUAAAUCUAUCAGCACUUUAUCAAAUUAAUGACAUUUAUUCUAUGUUAAAAUGCAAGCAUAAUAAUUUGAAUAAACUAUAAGCCAUAUUUUAUGAUAAAUAAUGGUAUGCUAAUAGAUUACAAUGUCCUUAUAUGGAAAAAAUGCACACUAUUAUCAUAAUAUUUAUUAAAUAUUACAAUUCUAAUGAUGAAUUUUCCAUAACGGAUAUUCAGGUUCAUCGGGC
RNAcentral lists this ribosomal RNA (340 nucleotides) under Drosophila kikkawai. RNAcentral describes it as "28S ribosomal RNA, D2 domain". The record is from RNAcentral. Lineage: Eukaryota; Metazoa; Arthropoda; Insecta; Diptera; Drosophilidae.